Molecule: long non-coding RNA, 349 nt
Filed under: Mytilus galloprovincialis (Mediterranean mussel)
Lineage: Eukaryota; Metazoa; Mollusca; Bivalvia; Mytilida; Mytilidae
Source: RNAcentral
AUCAAAUGAUAAAGUCAUACCAAAUAGGACUACGAUAAUCUGUGCCUAGAACUAGAAAAUUCAAAGUUUUUAAAACAGUGUUUAUAAAAAAAAUAUCAUUGAUAUUUCUUGCCAAUAAAGAAAUAACCAACAUUGUGCAACAAUAUGCCAACGUGUUAGGUACUUAUCUCCCCCUUUAUACCACAUAAUUGAAAAUUUAUGUUUUAUAUUAUUCCAACGUUCUAACAAAAAACAAAUGUGCACUUCAUUCUCUUUAUCUAACAUUUUCAAAUCUGUGUAGUCAUUUAAAUGUAUUUACCUAAAUGAUUAAAUAUUUUUAUGCACAAAUAAAAAAUAGUUAAAACCAGCC